This is a long non-coding RNA of Gopherus agassizii (Agassiz's desert tortoise), 462 nucleotides long. The record is from Ensembl. NCBI's taxonomy places the organism in Eukaryota, Metazoa, Chordata, Testudines, Testudinidae.
AAACAGACAACUAUAUCCAGUGAGCUCUGUGCACGCCAGGCCAUGCCCAAUGCAUCCAGCAUGAUGGUGUCUCUUUCACAGAGCUUUCUCUACAAGUGCUGGGGCACCGUGCUGAUGUUUUCUCCAGAAGAGAGCAUCAAGCCCCAGCUAUGGCGUCUGGUGGAGAUGGUCAAUUUCAGAGAAGAAGAGGAAAGAGAGGGAUUCGCCCGAGCACUUGGGCUGUGUGCCAGGCAACAUCUAUAUGAGAUUUUUGCCAUCCUGGAGCACUGGGAAGAGGUCGUCAGCAGGGUGCAGCUCCAGCCUUCUGCUGCUGGCUCUCUGGAGGAGCCAGCUUCCAUCGAGCAGCUGAGAAGCCUCCUGCUCCUCACCUAUGGGCACGUGGUCCACUCAGUCCCCACAGACCUCAUCCUAGAGACCAUAGGCUACAAGAUCCUGACUCCCAUGCGAAAACACUAUUUUCUG